AGAAGUUUAGGAUAUACAGUCCAAGAGCCUUCAAAGCCCUAAGAAAACAAGUAAAAGUUUAACUUCUG
RNAcentral lists this transfer RNA (68 nucleotides) under Praomys morio. RNAcentral describes it as "tRNA-Trp". Lineage: Eukaryota; Metazoa; Chordata; Mammalia; Rodentia; Muridae. The record is from RNAcentral.